GAUGAAGAACGUAGCGAAAUGCGAUACGUAAUGUGAAUUGCAGAAUUCAGUGAAUCAUCGAGUCUUUGAACGCUCAUUGCGCCCCCUGGUAUUCCGGGGGGCAUGCCUGUCCGAGCGUCAUUGCUGCCCUCAAGCACGGCUUGUGUGUUGGGCCUCCGUCCUCCUCCCGGGGGACGGGCCCGAAAGGCAGCGGCGGCACCGCGUCCGGUCCUCGAGCAUAUGGGGCUUCGUCACCCGCUCUUGUAGGCCCGGCCGGCGCUUGCCGACACAUCAAUCUUUUUUCCAGGUUGACCUCGGAUCAGGUAGGGAUACCCGCUGAACUUAAGCAUAUCAAUAAGCGGAGGA
Molecule: unclassified non-coding RNA, 345 nt
Filed under: soil metagenome
Description: partial contains 5.8S ribosomal RNA, internal transcribed spacer 2, and large subunit ribosomal RNA
Rfam family: 5.8S ribosomal RNA (bases 1-120)
Source: RNAcentral